CAAGUCGAGCGGUAGAGAGAAGAUUGCUUCUCUUGAGAGCGGCGGACGGGUGAGUAAUGCCUAGGAAUCUGCCUGGUAGUGGGGGAUAACGUUCGGAAACGGACGCUAAUACCGCAUACGUCCUACGGGAGAAAGCAGGGGACCUUCGGCGCCUUGCGCUAUCGGAUGAGCCUAGGUCGGAUUAGCUAGUUGGUGAGGUAAUGGCUCACCAAGAGCGACGAUCCGUAACUGGUCUGAGAGGAUGAUCAGUCACACUGGCACUGAGACACGCUCCAGACUCCUCCGGGAGGCACCAGUGGGGAAUAAUGGUCAAUGGCCGAAAGCCUGAUCCAACCAUCCCGCGUGUGUGAAGAAGGUCUUCGGGUUGUAAAACACUUUAAGUUGGGAGGAAGAGGCAGUUACCUAAUACGUCAUUGUUUUGACGUUACCUGCAGAAUAAGCACCGGCUAACUCUGUGCCAGCAGCCGCGGUAAUACAGAGGGUGCGAGCGUUAAUCGGAAUUACUGGGCGUAAAGCGAGUGUAGGUGGCUCAUUAAGUCACAUGUGAAAUCCCCGGGCUUAACCUGGGAACUGCAUGUGAUACUGGUGUGCAUGAAU
RNAcentral lists this ribosomal RNA (597 nucleotides) under obligately oligotrophic bacterium POO-2. Its description in RNAcentral is "bacterial SSU rRNA". It matches the Rfam family "Bacterial small subunit ribosomal RNA", at positions 58 to 647 of the family's 1533-position model. Lineage: Bacteria; Pseudomonadati; Pseudomonadota; Gammaproteobacteria. The record is from RNAcentral.